AUGAAAAUAACUGGCACCAAUUAUUAUAACACCUUAUUGGUCGUCGUUACUAUUGUUUAAAGUAAAACGAAAUCAAAGAGAAUAGAACUAUGUUUGAAUUCUGGUUUAAAUAUGACGUCUGGACGCACGACAGGAGACUGCAGAGUUCAGCGAGUGCGGAGCAUAAAGAACCUUCGAGAAAUACAAGAACAUUUAGAAGAAUUGAAGUUUCAUUUUAAAAUAUCUGGAACUUACUGAAACAAGUGACAUUAGAGAAGUCAGCGAGGCUGGCGUCCUGUCUUAAAAAUAAUGAAUUUAUAAUAAAAUCCGAUAUCAGAAGUGGGAUCGCUCCUGUGAUCAGUUACUGCCGGUCUUUGUGUAUUUGUAAAUCCUGAUCCAGCUCAAGAAAAUAAUCAUCCGGAGAACUUGCGUAAUGAAGAACGCUCCUCAGUCUUUCAUGCAAAUGAUGUCAACAAUGCAGAGCGUGACCGAACGUUUGCUACUAAAAAAAACAAGGGAUACGAUUAAAAUUACUAACAAGAUCAUAUUAAUUUUAUCAUCUUUUGAUCCCGGUGAUAGUGUGUGUGUUCGGGAUUGAUUCAAACGCAUCUUUACGGCUGUAAAUACGUACCAAAUCAGUAACUACGACAUUCGAAUUAAAGUCUUUUAAAGGAGCGAGCUAGAAAGUGUGCAGACGAUUGGUUAGUUGCAACAUCUACACAAGAGGCAUUACGUGAGACCAUAGCUAACAUUUGUUAUUAUCCUUUGAGCUAACCUCGUGUCCAUGAUGUAUUCUGAAGAGAACCAUGAGAUUCUGUAGGGAAGGCUUGUGGUACCGUGACAAGACAAUUAUACACCACCGAUCUGGAGAGCGUGACCUCUGAGCUAAUCACGUGUUACCCUUGAGCUAACCACGGGUCCUUGAUGUAUCCAUAAGAGAACCAUGAGAUUCCGUAGGGAUGCCUUGUGGAGCCGUGAGAAGACAAGUCUACACCACAGAUGUGGAGAGCGUACCUCUGAACUAAUCGCGUGUUACUCUUGAGCCAACCACAGGUCCUUGCUGUAUCCUUAAGAAUACCAUGAGAUGACGUAGGGAGGCCUUGGGAAGACUUGAGUAGAAAGAUACUCACUCGAUCUAUAAGAACUUGCAUGAUUUUAAUAUCAAACUACUGAGACCAUUGCUUUAUUUAAAUACGACAAUAGACAUACUCUUCACAGUAAUAUUUGCAACAUGUCUGGUUAACACACGGCAGUGCCUCUACAAAAACGAUGCUGUAAUUCAAACGAAAGCAUACUCGACUCCAAAAUCCUGAUAAAAUACAUCUAUUGUGAAUAUAACUAAUUUCUGUUCCUUUUCUGCUAACCGUGGUCAUGCGUUUGAAUCGUGUUUCCGACGGGAAUAAGGAGAUCACGCCGAAUUUUAAUUUAAUACCAGCUGGUAAAUGUACUCUUAAAUAAAAUGCAAGAUCGCAGUGGUGCGUUAUACAAGAAUCAAUUGCAAAUGAUAUCUCUGGGUGUAGAAAACAAAUCGUAAACUAUUUGCGUGGAUUGAGAUCGGACCUUACUAUUUCAAUGAAAAGUUAAAUAGUUAUUAAUGUAGAAAUAAUUUUCUAUAGUUCCAGGUUUUGAAACGACUGCUGAUAUUUUAACCGGAGCAGAUUUAUUACGUGAUAAGAAUACAUGUGGAAAAUUUAGUAUCCUUGCCGAUGUUUUGCACAUACGAACAAGUCAAUUAUGCUUAAGGGAGAUAUUGUAAUAAUAAAAAUAUAACCCCAGAAAUCGGAUAUCCCUAUAUUUAAAAUUUUGUGAACUAUACAAAAUCCAGAAAAUAAUUGAGAAUGAUUAAUAUCUUGUAAAGUGAUUUUAGACAAUGGAUGACUUCGAAAUGUGGCACAUGACCAGCUACGAAUGUGGCACAUGACCAGCUACGAUGAGACUUCACAGCAUCUGAGGGACGACACAGAAUUACUAAGCAAGCAGUUAGGUGGACGGUUCGCCUACCUAAUAGUUAUCCGAAAACAAUGCAGAGCACGCAUCAGUAUAACCGUAUCGGCAUGACUUCGGACGAUGAAGCAUCAAUUCUUGAACCUGGCCCAUACUCUACGAGACCUGCAACGGGUACGAGAAAAUAACGAAAGCUAAGCAAGAGAGAACACAUCACCAGGCAGGUGCAGAGCACGCACCGCCUGCCAGAAUGGCCGUAUCGGCGCAAGCAGCUUCAACGACGGAUGCAACAUGAAAAUAACUGGCACCAAUUAUUAUAACACCUUAUUGGUCGUCGUUACUAUUGUUAAAAGUAAAACGAAAUCAAAGAGAAUAGAACUAUGUUUGAAUUCUGGUUUAAAUAUGACGUCUGGACGCACGACAGGGGACUGCAGAGUUCAGCGAGUGCGGAGCAUAAAGAACCUUCGAGAAAUACAAGAACAUUUAGAAGAA
Molecule: long non-coding RNA, 2415 nt
Organism: Danaus plexippus (monarch butterfly)
Lineage: Eukaryota; Metazoa; Arthropoda; Insecta; Lepidoptera; Nymphalidae
Exons: 2
Source: RefSeq, a predicted model, not a curated record